Molecule: ribosomal RNA, 497 nt
Filed under: uncultured bacterium
Lineage: Bacteria
Description: partial 16S ribosomal RNA
Rfam family: Bacterial small subunit ribosomal RNA
Source: RNAcentral
GAUGAACGCUGGCGGCGUGCCUAAUACAUGCAAGUCGAGCGAACAGAUGAGGAGCUUGCUCCUCUGACGUUAGCGGCGGACGGGUGAGUAACACGUGGAUAACCUACCUAUAAGACUGGGAUAACUUCGGGAAACCGGAGCUAAUACCGGAUAAUAUAUUGAACCGCAUGGUUCAAUAGUUAAAGACGGUUUUGCUGUCACUUAUAGAUGGAUCCGCGCCGCAUUAGCUAGUUGGUAAGGUAACGGCUUACCAAGGCAACGAUGCGUAGCCGACCUGAGAGGGUGAUCGGCCACACUGGAACUGAGACACGGUCCAGACUCCUACGGGAGGCAGCAGUAGGGAAUCUUACGCAAUGGACGAAAGCCUGACGGAGCAACGCCGCGUGAGUGAUGAAGGUCUUCGGAUCGUAAAACUCUGUUAUUAGGGAAGAACAAAUGUGUAAGUAACUAUGCACGUCUUGACGGUACCUAAUCAGAAAGCCACGGCUAACUACGUG